This 783-nucleotide ribosomal RNA is filed under the name uncultured bacterium. Its description in RNAcentral is "bacterial SSU rRNA". It matches the Rfam family "Bacterial small subunit ribosomal RNA", at positions 9 to 787 of the family's 1533-position model. The record is from RNAcentral.
GAGUUUGAUCCUGGCUCAGAUUGAACGCUGGCGGCAUGCCUUACACAUGCAAGUCGAACGGCAGCACGGGAGCAAUCCUGGUGGCGAGUGGCGAACGGGUGAGUAAUGUAUCGGAACGUACCUUUCAGUGGGGGAUAACGUAGCGAAAGUUACGCUAAUACCGCAUAUUCUGUGAGCAGGAAAGCAGGGGAUCGCAAGACCUUGCGCUGAUUGAGCGGCCGAUAUCAGAUUAGCUAGUUGGUGAGGUAAAGGCUCACCAAGGCGACGAUCUGUAGCGGGUCUGAGAGGAUGAUCCGCCGCACUGGAACUGAGACACGGUCCAGACUCCUACGGGAGGCAGCAGUGGGGAAUUUUGGACAAUGGGGGCAACCCUGAUCCAGCCAUGCCGCGUGAGUGAAGAAGGCCUUCGGGUUGUAAAGCUCUUUCAGCCGGGAAGAAAUCACAUGGGUUAAUACCCUGUGUGGAUGACGGUACCGGAAUAAGAAGCACCGGCUAACUACGUGCCAGCAGCCGCGGUAAUACGUAGGGUGCGAGCGUUAAUCGGAAUUACUGGGCGUAAAGCGUGCGCAGGCGGUUUGUUAAGAUAGGCGUGAAAUCCCCGGGCUCAACCUGGGAACUGCGUUUAUGACUGGCAGGCUAGAGUAUGGCAGAGGGGGGUGGAAUUCCACGUGUAGCAGUGAAAUGCGUAGAGAUGUGGAGGAACACCGAUGGCGAAGGCAGCCCCCUGGGCCAAUACUGACGCUCAUGCACGAAAGCGUGGGUAGCAAACAGGAUUAGAUACCC